AUGAUAUCUGUUAUCUGGGCAGUAUGGUGGGCAGGUGUCUAUGUAGUCCUGGUCUCUGAGGGACAGUUAUUGAUUUUCACCAAAGAGAACAGCGGUUUGCACAGAUUCAAGUCACAAACUCAAAGGCCUGAACAGUUUCAGAGCAGAAGGGUCUGCAAGCUGUUUUCAGGGCUACGACCUGACAGUCCUGAAAGUCACAUAAGCAGAAGGUAUGCAUUUACUAAUAAGGGUAGGAAUUACAAAUCAUUUCCCUUCAUUUAACCUACUUGUAG
RNAcentral lists this long non-coding RNA (272 nucleotides) under Lepisosteus oculatus (spotted gar). RNAcentral's name for it is "lncRNA (ENSLOCG00000021143.1)". The record is from RNAcentral. Lineage: Eukaryota; Metazoa; Chordata; Actinopteri; Semionotiformes; Lepisosteidae.